Molecule: long non-coding RNA, 7268 nt
Organism: Rhinolophus ferrumequinum (greater horseshoe bat)
Lineage: Eukaryota; Metazoa; Chordata; Mammalia; Chiroptera; Rhinolophidae
Exons: 6
Source: RefSeq, a predicted model, not a curated record
AAAAAUAUUUUCAGAUCUGAGACCGAUGCUGGACAGAGCUGUAGGGACAUCCUCCAACUUUAUAGCGAUGCUCUAACAAAAACUUGGUACAGUGGCGUACUUACAGGGGCUAAUUGUCAGGCAAAGUGUGUGGUGACUUUGAAAAAGACUGCAGUGCCAUGCCCGCUCACCCGCCCUCCACCAAGUCAAAAUAACACAAUCCACACUUUGAAAACUAUCCUGUUAUCACGGAGACCUCCAAUUCUAUCAGUUGACCAUUAAAGAAUGUCUAUCAAGCAUCCAGAAAAACAAUGAUUUGGUCAUUGCCCUCAAAGAACUGACCUAGACAGAGCCUAAUAGAAAAUACCAAGUAUUUUCUCCCUUACCUGGUUUCAUUUAAUUCCUACAACGCUGAGGUAGGUAUGGUCAUUAUCCCCUUCCUACAGGGGAAGAAACUAAGGCUCAGGGAGUAAAUAUUUUGCUACAAGUCACAGAACCAGUAAGUGGCAGAGCCAGGGCUUGAACCCUGGAGUCUAAAUCCUUGGGUACUGAUGGGCACCAUUUAGACCAGGAAGCCCAAACCUUAAGCUUGCUGUUCCAGUUUUUCUUACCAAAGGAAGGGUCCCCCAUUUCACUAAUACCAUUGACUUUUGAUUUCUCCGCUGAUCCAGGAUGAAGAGCCUGGUACCUUAUGCCACAAUGAGGCUUUUAGAAGUGCUGCUGCGCAGUUUGGCAGAGGGACCAGCGCCCCGUGCCUGCGCUUGGGAGCCAGGCUGACCCCUGGGUCUGCGAGCCAAACCUGCCCCAGUUCGCUCAGCACUUCCAACCGGUACCCCUCAGCUGCCAGGCCAGAAACCCACGAAGGGGCUCCAGCAGUCAGGGCCUGGGGAAGCAUCCCGACAGACGGAGGCGUGCGGGCCUGUCCGCUUGCUGCCCGGCCGCCCAGCCUGCUGCCCAGCCCCGGCCUCUCGGGUGGACGGGGCUCCAGCACCAACACCGCUUGGCCGGCCCCGCGCAGCCCCGAGCCCCCGCCUCUGGCUGCCGGCCCGCUCGCGGUGCUCACUGCGCGCUCUGGACCGGGCCCGCCUCUCGGCGGUUUUCGCUUUCGCUUUCCUGCCGAUAUAGUUGAGGAAAAUGAAAGUGGCCGUGGCCAGGACUGGCGAAGCUGCCGUCGGGGCGAGGGGCGCAGAGUGCGGCCGCGGCGGGUCUGGAGCCUGGAGCCUGGAGCCUGGAGCCUGGAACCCCGGCCGCAGCCAGCGCCGGGCGAGGCUUGGAGAGCAGCUAGGCCAGGAUGCAGCCUCUCCCCAAGGCCCUGCCCGUUUGAAGACUCACUCUGCAGGACCCCAACCCUCAAGGCUGGCAGAAAUGGCCAGGCAUGGGUGCACUCUGGGACCCAGUCUUUCCCAGACCAGGGAACUUUCUGUCCACUGCGUCCGCCAGCAGAAGGGUGAAAGAUGAGCGCCCCGAUCUUUGCCCUUGGUCCAAUCUACCGAGCUCCUUCGUGGUAUGCGAGAAUUGGGCGCCACCUCAAGGCUGUGGAGACAGCCCCUGCCCUUGGGGUAUUACCCACACCCUGGCAAGAGAAGAUGUAUGCCAGUUGCCCACAAGACCAGUUGUGUGGAACAAGCAUACGUGAGAGGAGGCACUAAGUGUUGAAAGUGACGAAAUCUGCAAACACUUGACUUAAUUUGAGUGACCGUGUUUUUGUAGCCAAUACCAAGAACCCUCUUCUACUCAACUUUUGUCUCAAAAGAAAGGAAUUCAGCCAAAUCACAUGGAUCUGAUCAUAACACCCAUUACUGAAACAAAACUGGAAUGAUCUUAACUUUGAAAAUAGCCAUCUGAAUUUGACAAAAGAUGACUCAACACCCUAAUUUUUAAAACCUGGAGUCCCCGCUCUGUCCCGCCCCAGAAGGGUGGUGGCAGCACGGCCUGGACUUCUCUGAACUGCAGGCAGGCCGGGGGCUGGACUGCAGGGAAUCAAGAAAAUGGACUCCCUUCUCCUGGGGACAUGAAUGCCAGCCACCAGCCAAGGUUCUCCAAGCUCUUCCAUUUGCCCCUCCAGAUCUGCUGCCAACCCUCUCCACCUGCUCUAUUCCCUGGGAGGCUGACCUGUAUGCUCUGCAUCAGCCCCUGCCUUGCCUCUGGCUUCUGACAUGUUUGGCCGAUGGCAAGUACUGGAAGGAGAUCAGCAGACACAGGAUUUUUUUUUUUCUUUUCAGGUGCCAGAGUUUGCAGUCUUUUGGAGGAAAAUGAUGUUUCAAGUUUCACAAUAAGAAAGAAAAGUGUGUGUCACAGUGUCAGCUCCUGCACUGGGCAGUGCUGUGGAUGGACAGAGCUGCAGAAGGAGCCCUUUUCAGAGCAGCUCUCAAGAGGCCACACAACCACAACUGUUACUGAGGAGCCUUGGAGGGAACUGAAGAUAAAGACCAAUAUGUAAUUUAGGAUUGGAAGACAUCCUUUGAUAUCUCACUACAGCGGCAAAGAUCAACCUGUGUGGGUGGAAACAGCCCGGAAGGCACCAUGGUCCAGGCCUGUCUGGACUUGAAGGGAUCGAAAGGGGCAAAGGACACAUGCAAAUGACCCCGCCCACGUUGUCCCCCAUAGAGUGCUGCAUCAGCUGGAGUUCCCAUCCUAGGAUUCCCUCUGCAGAUAUGCCUGCGUUUGUUGAUUAUCUGCCGUUAUGCGUGGCCCCUUCAGAAUACAAGGAAGAAGAUGGCCUUCUGCGGUGGCUGGGACGGGAGCCUACGGAGUGUAUAAUAAGGGAUGUAAGGCCACAGGAUGAGCUUUCCUGACUCUGUCCCCUAGGGGGCUGGCACUUUCUAAUGUUGAGAGCUUGUUUUAUUAAUCCUUAUUCCCCUGGCCCGGAAUCCGCCAUGCAUGACUCUUAAUAAACAUUUGUUGUGUGGGCAAGUGUGCAGAGUGUAUGUUGUAGAGAGUAAGGCCUCAUCUGGUCCCAGAGAGGCAGUCCACCAGGUUCCCUGCUUCUCUGGUCUAUUUCUCGAGAGCUGGCUUCCUUAGUGGGUGCCCAGGGCUGUAACCCACUGGCAGCCCAUCGGGAUUAAAGAUGACCCUCCGUUUUCGUCCCCCAGCUAAAUAUCACCCGUUUCCGCAGUUGUUUUAGAGCCCUCAGCAUUCUGUUUAUCCAGUCUGGAGAGGCAACAGAAGUAUGCAGAUGUGGUCUGAACAGGCAGAUCCAUGGAUGCAGAUGGAAAAUGUGGGUUUGUGUGCUUUGAUGUAUUCGAGCUGUGAUGGUGACAGCUGCUGGCAUGGCCUCCAACACAGCAGGAAGGUUUUGGGUUGCUUCUGAUCAUCUUUCUUCCUUUGGUGUUUGUUCUCAUGGCUUUUCCACAGAUACUUUUUUGAUGUAAAACUCCAUACGGUAAUCCUUUGUCACCUGUGUUAUAUUUCUCCUCAACUCUCCUGGAGACUUCCUGAAAACUGACUUAUGGUAGGCACUCCAUAGAUGUUAGCUCAUAGUAUUUACUUUAUUGUUUUAUUUUUGAAUGAACAAUCAUGGAUUCAGUCAUUAACCAGGCAUGUCCUAUAUGUCAGGCACACCUAGAUACCGGAAUAUAGCUGUGAUCAGAAUUGGCCUGUCCCUGCUCCCCAGAGGUCCCCGACACUCUGGGAAGACUUGUUGAUUGAAUGAUAAAUGCACUCAUUUGAAGUGAGCUGGUUGAACUCACUGUGAUCAACAUUGAUACCAUGAGAUAUGCCCUGGGUGGUCUCUAUAUGUUCAACUCGGAACACGCUGUCCCUGCCUUCCAGUGCUAGAAGGUGGGAGCUGAGGAAGACACCACUGUGAGAGUGAAAAAACAUUGGACUUGGAGGGAACUGACUAGAGAUCAGGUCCUAGCUCUGUCACAAACCCACUGUGUGACCAUGGAUGAGUUAACUUGAUCUUUCUGAGCCUCAGUUAUCAGUGAAAUGGGGAUAACAAUGCAUCCUCAGAGGCGAGAGAGGAUCAAAUAGGGUCACCACACUGCACAACUCCAGGGGGUGCUGUUCACAGUUUAGUCUAUGCCGCUGCUGGUUGCCUGGAAUUAAAUGAGAGUGCUUGUGCUGUGUGACCUGAAGUUAACAAUCAAUAAAGGGUAGCUAUUGUGCACACGUUAGAAGGAAGCAGGGGUCAUUGCAGGCCAGCAGGCUGCACAGGGUUUGGCCAGGCUUUGUUCUUCAAGGAAGGGCAGGGCUCUGAGAAGUGCAGACUGUGAUGCAGGCAAAUGCCAGGAGGCAGGGACUCCCAGGGCAGGUCUGGGAAAAGCGAGGCCGGUGAGGGAGGUGAGCUCGACCUCAAGGCCUGAGUAAGGACUUCGCUAGGGAACUGGAAACUGGGCAUAUCGCAGAGGUCGAGGAGACUAAGGUAAACAGUUACUGAGCUGCAAAGGAUCCUAGAGAGCAUCUCGUCCAGCGUCUUGUCUCCCCAGGCCAGCAGAGGCCCGGGAGGGAAAGAAGUGAGUCUCCAAGCUCCCACAGUAAGGACCAGGGCCAGGAUUCACACCCGUGCAGAAAUCCGCUCAAACGACUCCUCAAGCCCGGUUUGUGGCCCCACAAAAGGAAGUCCCUGGCACUUUUCAUAUGCAUAUAUAUAUAUAUAUAUAUAUAUACACAUAUAUAUAUUUUUCUGACUGUAAAAGUAAUUGUAGGUCAUUAUAGAGCAUUUUUAAGUAAUAGAAAUAUAAAGAAGAAAAUAGAAUCACCUAUAAUCCCACCACCAAAAGCAAUCACCAUUAGUAUUCUGAUGCAUUUCUUCCAGUAAGUAUUCCACAUAAAAUUAUACAUUGUAUAUUUAUUAGAUUGGAAUUGUGUUGUGUGUAGUUUCAUGUUCCAUCUUUUCCCUGUAAAAAUGGUGAGUGUUUUAUGAAAGGAGGAACGGUUUUAAUGCAAAAGAAAUUCUAGAAAACUUUAUCCUUAGCAAAAAAAAAAAAAAAAAAAAAAGCGCGAAGCCACAGUCUGUGGUGGUUGGGAGGACAUCCUGCGAGCUGCAGGGUGGCUCCUCUCACGUCCUGUGUGAGCUCUGAGGCUCUUUUCUCUCCUGGUCAGGCUGCAGCCUCCUAACUGCAGGCAGGACAGAGCUGAGGAGCCUGCACUCACCCUUUCUUCCCCAACACAGGAUGUGUGGUCAUCCACUCAUCCAAAGGCAUGUGGGGUUGUGAUUGUUACUGUUUAUUAACAACAGUAGCGUCUCAGCCUGUGCAGCACGUUUUCUCGGGUGUUAUCUCACACACCCUGUGAGGCAGGUAAGACAAAAGCUGUUAUACCCAUCGUACAGAUGGAGAAACUGAGGCUACCAGAGGUCUAGUGGCUUAUUUGAGGCUGCACAGCCAGCAAGUGGCAAAGCAGGGACUUUACACACAUCUGGCCAACAUCCAAUUUUAGUGAUUUGUCCUCUAAACAUUUUUCUCCUCUAGUCCUAGUUUUUCCUGAAGUAACCUGGAUCCCCAUAGUGAGGCCGAGGACUGAGAGUGCUGUGAGUAUUCUGUGUGUGAGGAAAGGACACAGAACCCUGCCCUGGGAGUCUUAAGCCAACCCCUGCAGGUCCUGACUGGAUGUGCUGGGUGGCCUGACCUCAGGGCAGCUCUUCCCUGACAACUCAGAGCCAGCACCAUUGGAGGUCGGGGGAGUGAGUUUAAGGAGGCAGCCAUUUCUGGUAGAUGUGUUCAGCAGAGGCACUAUUCUCUGGGCAUCUUUGUUGACCUACCCAAGCCGUGGAGGCCCACUCCCUACCCAUGGCUCAGGAGCCUCAGUGCCACCAGAACAAAACAGGCUUUGUGGCUCUGUGAAACUGACACUAACCAAGGGAUUUAUGGCAGCUACAUCCUCCCGGUGGCUUCUCAGCAUUGCUGCUGAAGCACGUACCAUAAACUAAGCCGCUUAAAACAGCACACAUUUAUUAUUUUAUAGUUCUGUGAGUCAGAAGUCCAAAAUGGUUCUUACUGGGCUGACGUCAAGGUGUCACAGGGCUGCAUUCCUUUCUGGAGCUCUAGGAGAGAAUCUGCUCCCCGCCCUUUCCAGCUUUUAGAGGCCACCUGCACACCUUGGUUUGCGGCUCCUUCCUCCACUUUCAAAGCCAGCAAGUUAAGGGUGGUCAAGCCUUUCACUCAAUGCCGUCUCUAUGGUUCUGAUUCUUCUGCCUCCUUCUUCUCCAUUUGAGGAACCUUGCGAUUACACUGGACCCAUCCAGAUAAUUCACUGCGUUCUCCUCUGGGUUCUCCAAGGGACCCAUCCUCAGGCAUAGACAGGGGGCCGGUCCAGACCACAAUCAGGAUAUGGCAGCCACUGUCAGAGAGAUCCUUUCUGCCCAGGUCCCCUCCCACCUGUCUGCUUCUCACUCAGCUCCACCUGUCCUGGCCUCCUCUUCUCCCAUCCUCUGCUCCCAGUUUUAGGUAGAGAGGAGCUAGGAAGGAAGAGCCAGUGGGUGUGGACACAGAGGAGGGGGAUAUAAAGCUGAAUGCACCAGGGCUCUUGGAGGCCCUGGGGGCUGAGCAUUUCCCACCUGGACCCUGCACUUUCCAAGGACUGGGGCGAGAGCCUAGCCUCUGAGGACUCAGACAUGGAGGUCUAAGGGUCACUGCAAUGCUUGAGGGGCAGGCGGCCAAGUCCUGAGCCCCUUCACCUCUGCAUGUCUGGCUGCCCUGGAUAGGCAGAGUUCACCUGGCCCCUUUCCUCAGGUGAUGACUGCCUGUCUGCCCUACUCAUGCCCUUUCUCCCAGGUCGCUUGGUGAGGGCGUUGGGGAUCUAAGGCCAGGCAGGAGGGCCUAUGGGCAGCAAGAGAGAGGGGAGCUGGACAAGGGCUUUGGCCCUCCAAGUAGAUUGACCAACUUGCCCCAGUCUGUCCAGAACUUUCAGUUUUAGCACUGAAAAUCCCACAUCCCAGAGACACAUUAGUCUAAGGUGAGCAAGGCCCUUUGCACCUCCUAAUCUAUUCUAGAUUACCUCUGCAGCCUGGACAGCUGGCUCUUUGGACUCUGGGAUGCCAACCUCUGUACAGAAUCUGGGCGCAGAGAAACCUGAGGAAGCACCCCAAGCCAGAGCCAGCGAAGUAGAGACUUCCACUUACCAUGUUCCCCGCAGAAGCAUCACUUGUGAAGACCACACCUAUGUCUGCAUGGGACAGAGCUCCUAGGUAUCUGUACAAGGCAAUGAAAAAUUGUAUUUGCACUCAUAUCUCUAAAACUGUAACAGCCUGAUUACUUCUGGGUGGUGUACUGCUGGUGGCUUUCAUUAAUGUUUCUAUUUAUUCAUCUGUAUUUCUUACUCUGUACAAUUAAACUAUGUUCCUUUUA